ACUCCUACGGGAGGCAGCAGUGGGGAAUAUUGCACAAUGGGCGCAAGCCUGAUGCAGCCAUGCCGCGUGUAUGAAGAAGGCCUUCGGGUUGUAAAGUACUUUCAGCAGUGAGGAAGGUGGUAUGUUAAUAGUACAUAUUCAUUUGAUCGUUUAGCUUGCAGAAGAAGACACCGCGUAACUCCGUGCCAGCAGCCGCGGUAAUACGGAGGGUGCGAGCGUUAAUCGGAAUUACUGGGCGUAAAGCGCAUGCAGGUGGUUUGUUAAGUCAGAUGUGAAAGCCCGGGGCUCAACCUCGGAAUAUGACAUUUGAAACUGGCAGACUAGAGUACU
This 330-nucleotide ribosomal RNA is filed under the name uncultured bacterium. RNAcentral describes it as "bacterial SSU rRNA". It matches the Rfam family "Bacterial small subunit ribosomal RNA", at positions 335 to 650 of the family's 1533-position model. The record is from RNAcentral.